This 552-nucleotide ribosomal RNA is filed under the name Triticum aestivum (bread wheat). Its description in RNAcentral is "partial small subunit ribosomal RNA". Lineage: Eukaryota; Viridiplantae; Streptophyta; Magnoliopsida; Poales; Poaceae. The record is from RNAcentral.
AUGGAUGGUGAACCGAAAUACUUGCGCAUUAACCUCAUGUGCGCCUCAACCCGUUCUCUCCGAAUGAACGCAUGGCCAUACACGGAACCGCCGUGCUUCGGCUUCUUCCUCUUGUGCAUCGCCACUAGCAUAGCAAUGUCCUCUUCUUCGUUCAAAUCAAAUUCCUCACCCGACAAGGAAUCUUCCAUGAAAGAGGAGUCACACAAGCUCAUCUACAAUGCGGAAAAUCACCGUCAAACUAACUCUCCAACCCGAACAAAAAAAGUCAAGUUUCACCAUCUUUUUACCUUCGGGAAUUUCGUCGAACACCUUGCUUGCGGGGUGGACGAAAUCGGCCAGCUGCAGGUUGGGCAGUCAUCCGGCGGCGGCGGAUACGGGCGAUGGCGACUGCUCGAUAGAGGAGAUGGCCGCAGGUCGACAGAGAAGAAGGCGGGAGCUCGACGUGGCCGGCGGCCGGCUUUGCACGACCGGGGCUCACAGCCAUCGGGCGGGUGGCGUGCCGCGCCUCCCCUAGCUCGGGCACGGGUAAGGGGAGGGGGGCUGGUGUCCUAG